GUUGAACGCUGGCGGCGUGCCUAAUACAUGCAAGUCGAGCGAACGGACGCGCUGCGUGCUUUUCUGAUGUUAGCGGCGGACGGGUGAGUAACACGUGGAUAACCGACCUAUAGGACUAGGAUAACGUCGGGAAACCUGAUCUCGCACGGGAUAAUAAGUUGAACCCCAGGGUCCAUAGGUGAAAGACGGUUUUGCUCUCACGUUUAGAGGGUUCCGCGCUGCAUUAGCUAGUUGGUAAGGUAACGGCUUACCAAGGCAACGAUGCAUAGCCGACCUGAGAGGGUGAUCGGCCACACUGGAACUGAGACACGGUCCAGACUCCUACGGGAGGCAGCAGUAGGGAAUCUUCCGCAAUGGGCGAAAGCCUGACGGAGCAACGCCGCGUGAGUGAUGAAGGUCUUCGGAUCGUAAAACUCUGUUAUUAGGGAAGAACAUAUGUGUAAGUAACUGUGCACAUCUUGACGGUACCUAAUCAGAAAGCCACGGCUAACUACGUG
This 497-nucleotide ribosomal RNA is filed under the name uncultured bacterium. Its description in RNAcentral is "partial 16S ribosomal RNA". It matches the Rfam family "Bacterial small subunit ribosomal RNA", at positions 28 to 507 of the family's 1533-position model. The record is from RNAcentral.